Molecule: non-coding RNA, 787 nt
Filed under: Culex quinquefasciatus (southern house mosquito)
Lineage: Eukaryota; Metazoa; Arthropoda; Insecta; Diptera; Culicidae
Description: Eukaryotic large subunit ribosomal RNA
Rfam family: Eukaryotic large subunit ribosomal RNA
Source: Rfam by way of RNAcentral
CCCCCUAAAUUUAAGCAUAUUAAUAAAGGGAGGAAAAGAAACUAACAAGGAUUCCCCGAGUAGCUGCGAGCGAAAAGGGAAGAGCUCAGUAUGCAGGGGUGGCGCACUACCCGCGUCUACCCGGUUCCGUGUACUGGAAAUUUUGUCAUCUGCCAUGCCCGGCGCAGUGUCCAAGUUCAACUAGAAUGUGGCUUUUACUCCCAUAGAGGGUGAUAGGCCCGUAGGACGGCGCUGAUGGUGGAAUUUUUUUCCAUGGAGUCGUGUUGCUUGAUAGUGCAGCACAAAGUGGGAGGUAAACUCCUUCUAAAGCUAAAUAUCACCACGAGACCGAUAGCGAACAAGUACCGUGAGGGAUAGUUGAAAAGCACUCUGAAUAGAGAGUCAAAAAGUACGUGAAACUGCCUAGGGCUCAAGCCCGUUGAACUCGAUUAUCCGCGGCGGAGAUAUUCACCUGCGGUUGGCCCUCACCCGGUCCGCCGCAGGGCACUUACCUCCUGCCUCACGAGGACGUUGCGAUCCAUUACGAAACGGUUAGCCAGCGAUGGCUACAGGCCCGGCACCUGCCCCUUGGCAUCUGGUUGCUUAUCCCACAGUAGCGGCGCUCAGUUCGGAAGGCCUGCGCCGCAACCUGGGGCUUACCGGUGCGUGGUGUGCAGCCGGGCGCGUGAUGGAUUCCCCCGUACACCGUCUCGGGAAAGGCUCGCCUCUCCCACCUCCACCAAGGUGACGGACUGUCAAUCGGCAACGAUAAAAUCGAGGUACCUUCGGGACCCGUCUUGAAACACGG